This 203-nucleotide small nuclear RNA is filed under the name Sorex araneus (European shrew). RNAcentral's name for it is "U2 spliceosomal RNA (ENSSARG00000017701.1)". It matches the Rfam family "U2 spliceosomal RNA". From Rfam's summary of the family: U2 is a small nuclear RNA (snRNA) component of the spliceosome (involved in pre-mRNA splicing). Lineage: Eukaryota; Metazoa; Chordata; Mammalia; Eulipotyphla; Soricidae. The record is from RNAcentral.
AUUUUUUCUCUGCCUUUUGGUUGUGAUCAAGUAGGGUAUCUGUCCUUUUACAUUUGAUGUUGAUAUAUAGCUCUAGAUAUGAUCUCUAUCCAAAGACAACAUAUUAACUGAAUUUUUGAUGCAAGGAGUUGGCAUAGGAGUUUGCUUCAUCCAUUCCACUCAUCAACCUGGUAUUGCAAUAUCUCCAGGAUGGUACACCCCCA